RNAcentral lists this transfer RNA (365 nucleotides) under uncultured Microcystis sp. Its description in RNAcentral is "partial 16S-23S ribosomal RNA intergenic spacer". The stretch from base 136 to 209 matches the Rfam family "tRNA". The record is from RNAcentral. Lineage: Bacteria; Bacillati; Cyanobacteriota; Cyanophyceae; Chroococcales; Microcystaceae.
AAAGGGAGACCUAAUUCAGGUAGGAGACGAAAAAAAAGUAGUCCCUACCAAGAAUCAAUCCCAAAAGGUCGGAGCGAGGCAAAAUUGGCUUUCAAACUAGGUUCUGGGUUCACACAAGACCUGAAUCAGGAACAAGGGCUAUUAGCUCAGGUGGUUAGAGCGCACCCCUGAUAAGGGUGAGGUCCCUGGUUCGAGUCCAGGAUGGCCCACCUGUACAGGUGGCAAAAACAAAGAAAAGAAGCUCCGAAUCAGCACCUUAUCUUACUUAUAUAGUAAGAGAGAAUGCUGGCUCUGAGUACAGAGUCCAGAGGAACCUUGAAAACUGCAUAGAGCUAGGUGAAAAAGCCAAAAAAGAAGACCGCAAG